RNAcentral lists this ribosomal RNA (274 nucleotides) under uncultured bacterium. RNAcentral's name for it is "partial 16S ribosomal RNA". It matches the Rfam family "Bacterial small subunit ribosomal RNA", at positions 82 to 354 of the family's 1533-position model. The record is from RNAcentral.
CUUCCGCCGGCGACCGGCGCACGGGUGAGUAACACGUAUGCAACCUGCCCCUGUCAGGGGGACAACCCGCCGAAAGGCGGGCUAAACCCGCGUACAUGCCACCGGGGCAUCCCGGAGGGCAGGAAAGGCUUCGGCCGGACAGGGAUGGGCAUGCGGCGCAUUAGGCAGUAGGCGGGGUAACGGCCCACCUAACCGACGAUGCGUAGGGGUUCUGAGAGGAAGGUCCCCCACACUGGUACUGAGACACGGACCAGACUCCUACGGAAGGCAGCAG